This 348-nucleotide long non-coding RNA is filed under the name Olea europaea (common olive). Its description in RNAcentral is "long non-coding RNA (OEUR_LNC003892)". Lineage: Eukaryota; Viridiplantae; Streptophyta; Magnoliopsida; Lamiales; Oleaceae. The record is from RNAcentral.
UAAUCCUCCUCAUGUGUAAGGUGUAUAAGAAUGUGUGUUGUGUCAAUCAAUCCCACCUCGAAACAACCAUGGAACCCAAACUUAGAAAAAAUCUCACGUACCUUCCUCAUGGUUGGCUUGCGAUGUGGAAAUUUCCCCACAAGUGUAUACUUGUAAGGAUCAGCGAGUGUAGCCUCCUCGGACUCAGUCAAAACUAUUGCCGGCUCACCCAUAUGUAUAAAGGGUUCUUUAGCAGCAAACCCAGCAGUGGAAGAGUCAUCUAUACCCUGUAUAACCGAUGCAAACGACUUUCGUGAACUCCGUUCAGCUUGAGACAGGCCCGGACGGCCAGAAACUGCAGUAGCAUAG